CGAAUGGGCACAAUGCGAAUUCCACACACAAGCCACAAAGAAGCCAUCAGCCGCGGUCAACAGCACCUUCCUGAUUGAACAGAACCACGCGUUGUCUGUGUGGUUUACAAGUUUCUUGGCGAUAUGGGGGGAAAGUUCCUCACAUACCAACGGAAAAUGGGAUUCAUAUACAUGCUGCUGUCUCAUAAUAUGGCGAAGACGAGUCACCUGAAGGCCUAACUCGCCAUAGAAGACUGAAAGAAUUGUCCUGCAGGAUGCUGUGUCCUGCAAUCCUGUGUGCUGUGCUACAGACGCGUGUGGAGGUCAACCCAAAAUGGGCACAGUCUCACCACAGAAGAGUGAAAGAGGAUCCUGGCAGGGAGACGGUAGUGUCCUGCAGAAUGGUGAUGGGCCAAUCUUACAAGAGACCACAGAAAACUGAUAUAGUGAACUAUAGAAACAACAGUGCCUGCUGCAGUAUAACGAGGACACCCUGAGCAGAGAGCUCCAAUAGACCCAGGUCCAGUGUCUUGGCAGGGUGAAAUGGCACUGAUAUGGUGUCCUGCAGGAUGCUGUGUCCUGCAAUCCUGUGUGCUGUGCUACAGACGCGUGUGGAGGUCAACCCAAAAUGGGCACAGUCUCACCACAGAAGAGUGAAAGAGGCUCCCAGAAGUGAGACUGAGUGCCUGUUGCAGUAUGACGAGGACGCAGUGACCAGAGACCUUCAGUAGACCCUGCUGGCAUGAUUGGCGUCUGAAGAACAUGAAAUCAACAGCAAUGUUUAUAAUGUUGUACAUACCUGUAUAGUCUGUAUUAAAAGGCAGUACCUGUA
This is a long non-coding RNA of Engraulis encrasicolus (European anchovy), 811 nucleotides long. RefSeq lists it as uncharacterized. NCBI's taxonomy places the organism in Eukaryota, Metazoa, Chordata, Actinopteri, Clupeiformes, Engraulidae. The record is from RefSeq and is a predicted model, not a curated record. The transcript has 7 exons.